CCUACGGGUGGCAGCAGUGAGGAAUAUUGGUCAAUGGACGAGAGUCUGAACCAGCCAAGUAGCGUGAAGGAUGACUGCCCUAUGGGUUGUAAACUUCUUUUAUAUGGGAAUAAAACGUUCCACGUGUGGGAUUUUGUAUGUACCAGAUGAAUAAGGAUCGGCUAACUCCGUGCCAGCAGCCGCGGUAAUACGGAGGAUCCGAGCGUUAUCCGGAUUUAUUGGGUUUAAAGGGAGCGUAGGUGGAUUGUUAAGUCAGUUGUGAAAGUUUGCGGCUCAACCGUAAAAUUGCAGUUGAAACUGGCAGUCUUGAGUACAGUAGAGGUGGGCGGAAUUCGUGGUGUAGCGGUGAAAUGCUUAGAUAUCACGAAGAACUCCGAUUGCGAAGGCAGUUCACUGGACUGCAACUGACACUGAGGCUCGAAAGUGUGGGUAUCAAACAGGAUUAGAUACCCCAGUAGUC
RNAcentral lists this ribosomal RNA (460 nucleotides) under uncultured bacterium. RNAcentral describes it as "partial 16S ribosomal RNA". It matches the Rfam family "Bacterial small subunit ribosomal RNA", at positions 338 to 795 of the family's 1533-position model. The record is from RNAcentral.